RNAcentral lists this RNase P RNA (366 nucleotides) under Actinomycetota bacterium. Its description in RNAcentral is "Actinobacteria bacterium (hot springs metagenome) partial RNase P RNA component class A". It matches the Rfam family "Bacterial RNase P class A". Rfam says of the family: Ribonuclease P (RNase P) is a ubiquitous endoribonuclease, found in archaea, bacteria and eukarya as well as chloroplasts and mitochondria. Its best characterised activity is the generation of mature 5'-ends of tRNAs by cleaving the 5'-leader elements of precursor-tRNAs. The record is from RNAcentral. Lineage: Bacteria; Bacillati; Actinomycetota.
GGAGCCGGCCGGGUGGUCGCGGGCGCGCGAAAGUUGCGCCUGAGGAAAGUCCGGACUCCACAGGGCAGGGAGCUGGGUAACGCCCAGGCGGGGUGACCCGACGGAAAGUGCCACAGAAAGGGAAACCGCCCACCGCCUCCUCACGGGGGCAGGGGCAAGGGUGAAAAGGUGGGGUAAGAGCCCACCAGCGGUCCUGGUGACAGGGCCGGCUUGGUAAACCCCUCCCGGAGCAAGGCCAAGUAGGAGCCGAUGCCGUGGCCCGCGGCGCUUGAGGCUCGGGUAGGCCGCACGAGGCCGUCGGUAACGGCGGUCCCAGAUGGAUGACCACCGCCCGGGGCUUGGAUCCCGGGUACAGAAUCCGGCUUA